UGGAGGUGAUGAACAUCCUCACCCUGACUCCAGAGUGGAGGCAAAAAACUGAUUUAAUGAGCCUGAUCC
RNAcentral lists this small nucleolar RNA (69 nucleotides) under Notamacropus eugenii (tammar wallaby). The record is from RNAcentral. Lineage: Eukaryota; Metazoa; Chordata; Mammalia; Diprotodontia; Macropodidae.